GUCGAGCGAAUGGAUUGAGAGCUUGCUCUCAAGAAGUUAGCGGCGGACGGGUGAGUAACACGUGGGUAACCUGCCCAUAAGACUGGGAUAACUCCGGGAAACCGGGGCUAAUACCGGAUAACAUUUUGAACUGCAUGGUUCGAAAUUGAAAGGCGGCUUCGGCUGUCACUUAUGGAUGGACCCGCGUCGCAUUAGCUAGUUGGUGAGGUAACGGCUCACCAAGGCAACGAUGCGUAGCCGACCUGAGAGGGUGAUCGGCCACACUGGGACUGAGACACGGCCCAGACUCCUACGGGAGGCAGCAGUAGGGAAUCUUCCGCAAUGGACGAAAGUCUGACGGAGCAACGCCGCGUGAGUGAUGAAGGCUUUCGGGUCGUAAAACUCUGUUGUUAGGGAAGAACAAGUGCUAGUUGAAUAAGCUGGCACCUUGACGGUACCUAACCAGAAAGCCACGGCUAACUACGUGCCAGCAGCCGCGGUAAUACGUAGGUGGCAAGCGUUAUCCGGAAUUAUUGGGCGUAAAGCGCGCGCAGGUGGUUUCUUAAGUCUGAUGUGAAAGCCCACGGCUCAACCGUGGAGGGUCAUUGGAAACUGGGAGACUUGAGUGCAGAAGAGGAAAGUGGAAUUCCAUGUGUAGCGGUGAAAUGCGUAGAGAUAUGGAGGAACACCAGUGGCGAAGG
RNAcentral lists this ribosomal RNA (680 nucleotides) under Bacillus thuringiensis. RNAcentral describes it as "bacterial SSU rRNA". It matches the Rfam family "Bacterial small subunit ribosomal RNA", at positions 61 to 721 of the family's 1533-position model. Lineage: Bacteria; Bacillati; Bacillota; Bacilli; Caryophanales; Bacillaceae. The record is from RNAcentral.